RNAcentral lists this ribosomal RNA (468 nucleotides) under uncultured bacterium. Its description in RNAcentral is "partial 16S ribosomal RNA". It matches the Rfam family "Bacterial small subunit ribosomal RNA", at positions 28 to 507 of the family's 1533-position model. The record is from RNAcentral.
GACGAACGCUGGCGGCGUGCUUAACACAUGCAAGUCGAACGGAAAGGCCCUGCUUUUGUGGGGUGCUCGAGUGGCGAACGGGUGAGUAACACGUGAGUAACCUGCCCUUGACUUUGGGAUAACUUCAGGAAACUGGGGCUAAUACCGGAUAGGAGCUCCUGCUGCAUGGUGGGGGUUGGAAAGUUUCGGCGGUUGGGGAUGGACUCGCGGCUUAUCAGCUUGUUGGUGGGGUAGUGGCUUACCAAGGCUUUGACGGGUAGCCGGCCUGAGAGGGUGACCGGCCACAUUGGGACUGAGAUACGGCCCAGACUCCUACGGGAGGCAGCAGUGGGGAAUAUUGCACAAUGGGCGGAAGCCUGAUGCAGCAACGCCGCGUGCGGGAUGACGGCCUUCGGGUUGUAAACCGCUUUCGCCCGUGACGAAGCGUAAGUGACGGUAAUGGGUAAAGAAGCACCGGCUAACUACGUG